AAAAAAAACAAACCCUGGUUUCCGUGUCUAACGUUUGACCGUUCGUCUUAUUUGAAAAAAUUAUAAAAAAAAUUAAAAAAAUAAGUCACGCAUAAAGUAUUAAUCAUGUUUUAUCAUCUAACAACAAUGAAAAUACUAAUUAUAAAAUUUUUUUAUAUAAAACGGACAGUCAAACUUUGGCACGGAAACUCAGAGUUUGCCUUUUU
Molecule: microRNA precursor, 206 nt
Filed under: Oryza rufipogon (brownbeard rice)
Lineage: Eukaryota; Viridiplantae; Streptophyta; Magnoliopsida; Poales; Poaceae
Description: MIR812 microRNA precursor family
Rfam family: MIR812 microRNA precursor family
Source: Rfam by way of RNAcentral